GCUAUACUGAUGGGCAGUCAGCUGAUUCUAGCAGUCCUAAUAGGUACUUUCUUGAUUUUAUCCAAUUGUCUCACUACUUGCCAACCACCCAGCCAAGCUCUUUGUUGACUUUCAGCCAUUGUGACAAGGCAUCACCAAUCAUCAGGUCCUUUUACCAGGAGCUCCCAUGUCAUGGCCACUUGUCUCUGUAUAUAAAGGGAGUGAUGGGGGUGCUGCUUUGGACAAAUGGACCUGGGGUGGGGGAAAGGGGCAGCAGACAGAGGCUGCCUUGGCAAGAAGAUCUCUGCUGUUGGCCAGAAAUUGGAAAUGUAAGAAGAUGGUGAAGUACCACAGAUGUAAGUGUUCAGUAUGCCAUGUGAAGGAUUCACUACAGAGUAAAAAAUCAAAGAAGUUAUGCCAGAAAAAGAACAAGAAGACAAGGAAAAAGAAAAACCUCUCCUGGUGCAGGCCCAAGACCACCAUGAUCAUCGUUGAUUUUACAUCUCCGCCCCAGGGUGUCUAAGUAAAAUCUCUCUCCUUUCACUGAAGAAUGUGUUUUGUGUGUUUUUGCUCAGCUGAAAGGUAACCUGUGGCAACCUAGUGUACC
Molecule: long non-coding RNA, 586 nt
Filed under: Mustela putorius furo (domestic ferret)
Lineage: Eukaryota; Metazoa; Chordata; Mammalia; Carnivora; Mustelidae
Description: lncRNA (ENSMPUG00000024163.1)
Source: RNAcentral